GGCGAACGGGUGAGUAAUACAUCGGAACAUGUCCUGUAGUGGGGGAUAGCCCGGCGAAAGCCGGAUUAAUACCGCAUACGAUCUGAGGAUGAAAGCGGGGGACCUUCGGGCCUCGCGCUAUAGGGUUGGCCGAUGGCUGAUUAGCUAGUUGGUGGGGUAAAGGCCUACCAAGGCGACGAUCAGUAGCUGGUCUGAGAGGACGACCAGCCACACUGGGACUGAGACACGGCCCAGACUCCUACGGGAGGCAGCAGUGGGGAAUUUUGGACAAUGGGCGCAAGCCUGAUCCAGCAAUGCCGCGUGUGUGAAGAAGGCCUUCGGGUUGUAAAGCACUUUUGUCCGGAAAGAAAUCAUUCUGGCUAAUACCCGGAGUGGAUGACGGUACCGGAAGAAUAAGCACCGGCUAACUACGG
RNAcentral lists this ribosomal RNA (413 nucleotides) under Burkholderia pseudomallei. RNAcentral describes it as "bacterial SSU rRNA". It matches the Rfam family "Bacterial small subunit ribosomal RNA", at positions 97 to 506 of the family's 1533-position model. The record is from RNAcentral. Lineage: Bacteria; Pseudomonadati; Pseudomonadota; Betaproteobacteria; Burkholderiales; Burkholderiaceae.